This 465-nucleotide ribosomal RNA is filed under the name Vreelandella stevensii. Its description in RNAcentral is "partial 16S ribosomal RNA". It matches the Rfam family "Bacterial small subunit ribosomal RNA", at positions 338 to 795 of the family's 1533-position model. Lineage: Bacteria; Pseudomonadati; Pseudomonadota; Gammaproteobacteria; Oceanospirillales; Halomonadaceae. The record is from RNAcentral.
CCUACGGGUGGCUGCAGUGGGGAAUAUUGGACAAUGGGGGGAACCCUGAUCCAGCCAUGCCGCGUGUGUGAAGAAGGCCCUCGGGUUGUAAAGCACUUUCAGUGAGGAAGAACGCCUGGUGGUUAAUACCCAUCAGUAAAGACAUCACUCACAGAAGAAGCACCGGCUAACUCCGUGCCAGCAGCCGCGGUAAUACGGAGGGUGCGAGCGUUAAUCGGAAUUACUGGGCGUAAAGCGCGCGUAGGUGGCUUGAUAAGCCGGUUGUGAAAGCCCCGGGCUCAACCUGGGAACGGCAUCCGGAACUGUCAAGCUAGAGUGCAGGAGAGGAAGGUAGAAUUCCAGGUGUAGCGGUGAAAUGCGUAGAGAUCGGGAGGAAUACCAGUGGCGAAGGCGGCCUUCUGGACUGACACUGACACUGAGGUGCGAAAGCGUGGGUAGCAAACAGGAUUAGAUACCCUUGUAGUC